This 1313-nucleotide long non-coding RNA is filed under the name Pan troglodytes (chimpanzee). RNAcentral describes it as "long non-coding RNA NONPTRT012995". Lineage: Eukaryota; Metazoa; Chordata; Mammalia; Primates; Hominidae. The record is from RNAcentral.
AAAAAUUGUGUAACUAGGGGAAUGUGAAACACAGUCUAGGGAGAGGAAACCUAGCUACUGGGAGGCUGGUAUUCAAUUAUUUGGAAACUGGUGUCUAUUCCAAGAAGCACAGUGAAUGGGCUUCCGGGCACCAAGAGCGGGCUGUUCUAGGAGGAAAGGGGCCGGCCCUACCUGUGCUCUGCCCUUGGGCUGCAAAUGGAUUCUGGCCGGAGCUUAGCCAGGUUGUAUUUCCGGCUCAGAGAGGGUCUGGGUGGGACGUCAAGGGAAUCAUUCCAUGUUUAGGAUAAUGGAACAUGUUGAGUUGGUAUGCAAGUUUUUGUCUUCAAUCCCAGAUAUCCAAAAAGCUCUUUGAAACACAGGAAAGAUUGGCCCUAUUUCUCUUUAGGUAUCAUUAUUUAUCUAAAUCUCCGGAGCCAUUGAGGACCAAGAUCAUACUUGCUGAAUAAAUGCACGGAACAGGAUCAGAGGAUAGACACAGAAUGGGCCAAGAAGAGAAAUAUUAUUCCUCAUAAGAGCUUGCUUGAUUGCCACCACCAAGGACAUCCCCAAACCAGGGGCAAGAAGGACCAUCAGUAAUUCUUUCCCAUAAAUAGUGACAGGAAGAAAAUAAACGCCCUAUUCUUCAAUGAUUUGAACCACCUCUGGAGCACGAACUUCCUCUAAAUUCACAGGGCAAAUAUCCAUCAUGGGGCAGGUAUCUAUGCUGCCAUGGAAAGUAACAUAAAAUGUACUAAGUCAUCACAGGGAGUUUUAAUUUUGUUUUUAAGGUCAAUUGCCAUGCUGGGGUAAAAAGCAUUGAUCCUUGCCUUUUAUCACCGGAAAAAUUCUUCACCAGUACUUUGUGAAAAUCUCGCCUCAUCAGGGCUGCCAAGGUCAAUGCAACCUAAGUAACCAAGCUGGGAGAUGCUUGCCUAAUUAUUAAAUAUUUAGCAAACAGUUUGUGACUAUUUAACUGUUUGCACCUGGCACCCUCUUUUCACUACGUGAGGCCUCCUGGCACCCUGACCUCUUCCCCCACCCCUACCCACUGCCCAGGCCGCCAGCACCCCUGGGGGGCAAAUACCGGGACCCAAGGGCAUUUCAAAGAAACAGCAGAGGUCACAUUCCAUUUCCUUUUUAUUAAAAAACAUACUUAAAAUGGGGGAGGAGGGCACAGAUCUAAGGUAAAAUCUCUUGCAGUUUUUUCAAGUUCGCAUGCACCGUUGAAAGUUCAUUAGUUAGGGAUUUAAAAGCAAAAAUGUUUCACACAACCAAUUAAACGCCAAGCUUUACAAACGCCUUGGUCUUUGGUUUUGGGAAUCUGUAAAAGUCCG